CGGCGCCGCAUGCAGUCGAGCGGACGAGUUAUCUGAACCUUCGGGGAACGAUAACGGCGUCGAGCGGCGGACGGGUGAGUAAUGCCUAGGAAAUUGCCCUGAUGUGGGGGAUAACCAUUGGAAACGAUGGCUAAUACCGCAUAAUGCCUACGGGCCAAAGAGGGGGACCUUCGGGCCUCUCGCGUCAGGAUAUGCCUAGGUGGGAUUAGCUAGUUGGUGAGGUAAUGGCUCACCAAGGCGACGAUCCCUAGCUGGUCUGAGAGGAUGAUCAGCCACACUGGAACUGAGACACGGUCCAGACUCCUACGGGAGGCAGCAGUGGGGAAUAUUGCACAUUGUGCGCAAGCCUGAUGCAGCCAUGCUGCGCGUGUGAAGAAGGCCUUCGGGUUGUAAAGCACUUUCAGUCGUGAGGAAGGUGGCGUAGUUAAUAGCAGCAUUACUUGACGUUCGCGACAGACGAUGCACCGUUUAACUCCGUGCAAGCGGCCGCGAUAAUACGGACGUUGCGAGCGAUAAUCGGACUUACUGCACGUAAAGCGCAUGCCGCUGGCUUGUCAUGUCAGAUGUAAUAUCGCGACGCUCAUCCUCGGAAUAUCAUUUGAAACUGUCAGACUAGAGUACUGUAGAGGGGGGUAGAAUUUCACGUGUAGCGGUGAAAUGCGUAGAGAUCUGAAGGAAUACCGAUGCUGUGGCGGCCCCCCUGGUCAGAUACUGACACUCAGAUGCGAAAGCGGGGGGCCGCAAACAGCAUCAGAUACCCUGGUAGAUCACGCCGUAUACGAUGUCUACAUCGGAGAUUGUGGCCCUUGAGCCGAGUCUUUCAGAGCUAACGCGUUCAAAAUAGCACUGCCUGGGGGUAGUACCGCUCGGCAUGUAUUAAAUACUGCAUAUGAAUUACACGCGGGCCCGCGCAUAUACGCCGAAGACAUUUCGAUUAACUUCGAUGCAACCGCGGAGAUACUUAGCUAGCUCGUGGACAGUCAUAGAACGGUUCUAGAAUAUGACUUGGAGCCUUCGGGAAAGUCUCUGAUUCAAGUGACUGCACUGUUCGUCACUACGUCAAGGUUCGUUUACAUGCUGGAAGUAAGUCUGCCACAAGGGCGCAUGGCUGACCUAGCUGCAGCAGUGGUGUCAGUACUCAGGGUGAACCUCGGCGUUGGGAAUAUAUGCGGCGCAGGUUAUGCU
RNAcentral lists this ribosomal RNA (1185 nucleotides) under bacterium Fug-3-10-8. RNAcentral describes it as "bacterial SSU rRNA". It matches the Rfam family "Bacterial small subunit ribosomal RNA", at positions 44 to 1109 of the family's 1533-position model. The record is from RNAcentral.